GACGAACGCUGGCGGCGUGCUUAACACAUGCAAGUCGAACGGUGAAGCCCUUCGGGGUGGAUCAGUGGCGAACGGGUGAGUAACACGUGAGCAAUCUGCCCUUGACUCUGGGAUAACUUCGGGAAACCGGAGCUAAUACCGGAUAUGACAUACGGCCGCAUGGUCUGUGUGUGGAAAGAUUUAUUGGUCAGGGAUGAGCUCGCGGCCUAUCAGCUUGUUGGUGGGGAAUGGCCUACCAAGGCGACGACGGGUAGCCGGCCUGAGAGGGCGACCGGCCACACUGGGACUGAGACACGGCCCAGACUCCUACGGGAGGCAGCCGUGGGGAAUAUUGCGCAAUGGGCGAAAGCCUGACGCAGCGACGCCGCGUGAGGGAUGAAGGCCU
Molecule: ribosomal RNA, 385 nt
Filed under: uncultured bacterium
Lineage: Bacteria
Description: bacterial SSU rRNA
Rfam family: Bacterial small subunit ribosomal RNA
Source: RNAcentral